GUGCUUGCUUCGACAGCACAUAUACUAAAAUUGGAAUGAUACAAAGAAGAUUAGCAUGACCCCUGCUCAAGAAUGACAUGCAAAUUCAUAAAGCAUUCCAUUUUUUU
Cercocebus atys (sooty mangabey) is the source of this 107-nucleotide small nuclear RNA. Lineage: Eukaryota; Metazoa; Chordata; Mammalia; Primates; Cercopithecidae. The record is from Ensembl.